This is a long non-coding RNA of Lineus longissimus, 304 nucleotides long. RefSeq lists it as uncharacterized. The record is from RefSeq and is a predicted model, not a curated record. NCBI's taxonomy places the organism in Eukaryota, Metazoa, Nemertea, Pilidiophora, Heteronemertea, Lineidae. The transcript is spliced from 3 exons.
AAUUUUAGCAUUCACGAAAUUGUCAGCAACACCAUCUCCAAAAAAUCCUAUUUUUGCACAAUAUUUUGGCUUCAACAACAACGAGCUACAGCAUGGGAAGAAGCAUGGACAAUGUUCCAAUAGAUAUUCAUUACAAUAAGUCACUUGAUAAGUCAAGUAAUUAUAGUUACUGGAUUGGUUAAUCAAUCGUCAUCACUGCCACCAGCUAUGGCAGGUGAGAACACUCGUCAUCACUGCCACCAGCUAUGGCAGGUGAGAACACUCGUCAUCACUGCCACCAGCUAUGGCAGGUGAGAACACUCGU